This 492-nucleotide ribosomal RNA is filed under the name uncultured bacterium. RNAcentral's name for it is "partial 16S ribosomal RNA". It matches the Rfam family "Bacterial small subunit ribosomal RNA", at positions 29 to 507 of the family's 1533-position model. The record is from RNAcentral.
AGUGAACGCUGGCGGUAGGCCUAACACAUGCAAGUCGAACGGAAGCACAGUAAGAGCUUGCUCUUACGGGUGGCGAGUGGCGGAAGGGAGAGGAAUAUAUCGGAAUCUACUUUUUCGUGGGGGAUAACGUAGGGAAACUUACGCUAAUACAGCAUACGACCUACGGGUGAAAGCAGGGGAUAUUCGGACCUUGCGCGAAUGAAUGAGCCGAUGUCGGAUUAGCUAGUUGGCGGGGUAAAGGCCCACCAAGGCGACGAUACGUAGCUGGUCUGAGAGGAUGGUCGGCCGCACUGGAACUUAGACACGGUCCAGACUCCUACGGGAGGCAGCAGUGUGGAAUAUUGGACAAUGGGCGCAAGCCUUAUCCAGCCAUACCGCGUGUGUGAAGAAGGCCUUCGGGUUGUAAUGCCCUUUUUUUGGGAAUGAAAAGCAUCAGGUUAAUACCCCGCUGUUCUGACGGUACCCAGAGAAUAAGCACCGGCUAACUUCGUG